Molecule: unclassified non-coding RNA, 1358 nt
Filed under: Leishmania donovani
Lineage: Eukaryota; Euglenozoa; Kinetoplastea; Trypanosomatida; Trypanosomatidae
Description: gene:unknown
Source: RNAcentral
UUCGCGUGUCUCCGGUUUCGAUGCCACACACACACACACACACACAGCCACACAGACACGCUUCUUCUUUCGCGAUAGAGGCCAGCAGUGAGUUUUGUUUGCUGUUCAGGCGUUUUUUUUUGCGUUUUGGGCGGCUACGCAGAGACGCUGCGUGCGGUGUUGCGCGCUUUUUUUCGUUUGAGUACCCCGCCAGCCCCGCUCACGGGAGGACUUCUCGGUGCGUCGCAUGCUCAGGGCCCAGCACCCUCCCCCUUCUAUUUCCUGCCAAUGCGGAACCACUUGUGGUGGUGACAUGGCCCGGGCACCCAAGCCGGAGGGAGGUCAGAGCGAUUCAUAGCAACUGAUAUCGGCGGUCAGGUCCUGGGUGGCGCUGCGUGAGAGCGAGCGGCGACGGUGAGCACACGCUUGCACUAUACCGAUGAAGGGCAGAGCAUCGGGGUGACGCGAACGCAUGCCACCCGACCCUCACGCUGCCUGCUGAUGUGGGGACCGGCGCGACGCCGAGAGGGACGCAGCAAGUGGCGACCGGCGUCGUGAGAGCUGCUGUGAGGCGACCUGAGGGGUGGGGGCGCGGUGGGACGGGCGGGUGGGUGGCGUUUGAGGCCGAGGCCGUGCUGAGAUGACUGGGUCGGCGCAUUGCUGUAACACGCGUGUGCCGACGGCUGCUUUUGCACCACGCGGAUGGGGCCUGCGACAGGCUGGGGGCGGAGUUGAAGGGGCUACGCUCAGUUGUGUGGCAGAGCGUGAAAAAGAUGCAGAAGACGUUUGUCUCUCCGAUGGAGGAGUUCGACCAACGCGGCAGAGCGUACCCCGCGCCUUGCGCGUGCCGCUCUUGGCGUGGACGUUGGUAACAGAGUAUGUUGGUGCCUGAGCCCAUACGUCUCUCCCCCAAUUUUUCUGUGUGCGUGUGCGCUCGGAUGACGAUGCCACAUGCCUCAGCGACGUCUCGCAGUGUAAUACCAGAUAAGCUCCAACGCAAACGGGUCGUGCUCACUUGCACAGGAGGACCUAUACAUCUAUCUAUAGGCGCUGCGAGAUGAGAGCCUGCUGCUCUCUUCUCGUUCAGUAUCGCACCGCGCCCCGUAAACGGGGAAAGAAAGAAAACGCAACAGCGUGAGCAUAUUUACCGUUUCCCUUGCUAACUGUGCAUAUGUCCCUUCCCUCCAGUGCCUCACCCGUCUACUACCUUUUUUUAUGCACGCGUUUUACUCCCCAUGCUCACCGCCCGCACAGAGACGCAAACUUCAGCAACCGCCUUUCUCCUACCUCUCUCUCUCUCGUCUCCUCCCUUUGUGCGUUCUUGGUGAUUGUACCCGUACUCGCUUCCUUUGCUGUGCUCUCGGGUAUCUUGUUCGCAG